RNAcentral lists this long non-coding RNA (3084 nucleotides) under Sus scrofa (pig). RNAcentral describes it as "lncRNA (ENSSSCG00050031146.1)". Lineage: Eukaryota; Metazoa; Chordata; Mammalia; Artiodactyla; Suidae. The record is from RNAcentral.
AAUAUUUACUAGUUAACACACUUUAUAACAGACUCUGUGCAGGGGCGUGGAAUUACACAAGGUACAGAUACGCAACAGCUCAUAAUUAUUGGAAUAAAAGAAAAGGGGUUGGGCUGUCACUAUCUCUGUCCCCCUUGGAACUGAUAGCACAAUAGCCAAUAGCUGACCAUGAGUUGCAGUGUUUUCUCUGCCACCAUGCCAGUUCAUCAAGCAUGGGGUUACCACUGACUUCGGGGUCUACCCCUGAGCCUUCUGGCUUGAGUGGAUAAUCGCCUGACUGGGAGGGGGUCUCCUCUUAAACAGCACUCAUAUGUCUUAAGAAGUUCCCAAGGGGAUGAAAGUAACCCUAGAUACCAGAUGUUGUGGUCAAACACCGACUCCACUUCUUUCUCUAGGCCAGUGGGCAGGACCACAGGUGCAGCCAGAAGAAAGAACUGUUGUUCCUUGGGAAGGGAAAUAAAAAACCAGUAUUUAAGAGUUUAAAGUAAAUUAAUGGCCUGCGUUUCGGGGCCCCUGAUGAUGUGGGUUAGAUAACCAUGCAUGUUGACUCACACAUACCUUACCCUAAAUGUCGAGGUAAGAGGGAGGUCAUUGGCUAUCUAUAUUUCUCAUUUAUUGAGAUCAUAUCAUGAGAGAUAAAGCGAGUUUAUGCUGGCACAAUGAAAUGCUUUCGGACUCAUGUCAUUACCUUCCCUCACUCCACUGUAAUAUAAGCUCCUUGACAGGAGAGUGCUUUGUUCUAUUCACUAUUCUACCUCUAGCACUUUGGGUAACGCCUGGAACACAGUAGCGUUCUCUAUAUUUGCUGAAUACAUUGGUUCUCUCAUGGUCACAUUACUAUAUGUAGGCUCUGUUUUGGGAGACUUUCCUUUUGCCCUUACUUGGCUCAGAUGUGCGUUUUCCUCCCAAGGAAGAAUCUGUGGUCCGAAUGUGGCUAUUAUGUAUUCAUUCAUGCAUCAACUGCUUUGACGCAUUGAACACCCGAUUUUUUUUUUAACUGAAAAAAUAUCUAGAGGAAUGUUUUCCAUGAAAGGACUUGGAAUUUUAAAUUUUGCAUAGGUUUAGCAGCCAAUAAAAUACACAAACACACACUUUGGAGGGUGUGUCUUGCAUAAAGAGAACUAGUAAUUUAUCAUCCUGGGUAAAACAGGAGGGAGGAUCCAAUUCAUAUCAGGAUAAAUGAUAAACUAUGCAAUGCUAUAUAACAGUCUCAUAGAUCUCAGUCAUCUAUAAAACAACAAAAACAUGCUUAUUUUUUGCUCUUAUUAUUUGUCCAUCAUGGGUCUUUAGUGAACUGGCUGAUGGAAGAGUCAUUAUUUGAAGGGUUGCUAGCAGGUGUUGAAGAGGGAGAAAUUAUAUGCUCCAGCCAAAAAAGGAUGGCCUUUAUUCCCCCUCAUUCCCGUUUAUUGGCCAGAAACUUAUCACUUCGCUAGAGUACAGAUUCUAGCAAUAAUGGGCAGGUGGAUAGCUGGGUAAUGACUAUCACAGUUGUCACUUGACCAGGGUGCUUAGAUUUAUUCUAUUUGUGGAGGUCUUCCAUAAAAAAACUCAUGAGAAAUUUCCCAGAGGAGUAGUACUUUGAAAGAAAAAAAUCAGGGUUAACCAUUGUGUAACCUCAGCAAAUCAGAUCUUACAUGUAGACUAUGACAAUCAUAGACCUUUUGGAAAUCAGAGAGACCCGGGUUCAAAUUUCGGCUCUGCCAAUUAAUGUGUGGCUUUAUAUAAGAUAUUUGACCACUCCGAGAUGUGUAUGACCAUCUCUGAAAUGGAUCUACUUCACAGAGAAGACAAAACUGUUGAGAAAAUAAAAUGAGGUCCUGUAGAGAAGUGCUGAACACACAAUAUCUGGCACAUUUUACAGAUUCAAUACGCCAUGUCCUAGUUGAAAUGUAGAAAGUCUUGACAUUUUAUUAUUUGGUGCCUCUUGGGCUUAAGUUUUCUUGGCAAGCAAUGCUAGAAUGUUCUCAGGAGAUCUGGCAAUUAAGACUGCUCAAAUUUCUCUGUGGGAGAAUGUUUCUCGGAAAGAGCAGUUCUUUUGAAUGGAUUCUUCAGCUUAUCGGGUUUAAUUUUCAUGAAGUCUCUGUGUCCGCACUUAAGUUUUCACACAUACCCUCCUUACUCCGGUUUCUCUGAAAGUCUCACUAUUAGAGAAUCUAAACCUUGGAUACCCAUUAAGAUCCCCCAUCAAAGAGCUUUUCACAACACCUAUGUUUUGGUCUCACCUCAGACCCGUUAACUCAGUUUCCCAGGGAUUUAAUGUGCCUACGACUAGGACUGGGUCCUACGUAUUUUUUAAAAGCUCCUCUUGUGAUUCUAAUGAGCAGUGAGAGUUGAGAACCAUUUCUCUAUGUAUUCUGGCUCUUACCCAGCUCUCCAGUUUCAUCUGCUACCACUUUUCUCUCUCCUGGUCACUGUGCUCUAGCUACCUUUUUGUUCAUUGAACAUGCCAAAGUUGUUCCUUCUUCAGGACCUUUGCGUUAAUUGUUCCCUCAUCCUAGAAUGCCUCACCUCAAAUUUUCACGUACAGUUGCCCCCUGAACAAUGCAGUGAACGCUGUGCUGUUGAAAAUCCACUUAUAACUUUUGACUCCUCCCAGACUUAACUAUAGCCUACUAUUAACAAUAGCCUACUAUUGACCAGAAACAUUAUUGAUUGCAGCAACGUGGAUGGAACUAGAGACUCUCAUACUAAGUGAAGUCAGUCAGAAAGAGAAAGACAAAUACCAUAUGAUUUCACUUAUAUCUGGAAUCUAAUAUAGGGCACAAAUGAAUCUUUUCACAGAAAAGAAAAUCAUGGACUUGGAGAACAGACUGGUGGUUGCCAAGGGGGAGGAGGAGGGAGUAGGAGGGACUGGGAAUUUGGGGUUAAUAGAUGCAAACUAUAGCCUUUGGAAUGGAUAAGCAUUGAGAUCCUGCUGAAUAGUACUGGGAACUAUGUCUGGUCACUUGUGAUGGAGCAUGAUAGUGCGAGAAAAAAGAAUGUAUACAUGUAUGUGUGACUGGGUCACCUUGCUGUGCAGCACAAAAUUGACAGAACACUGUAAAUCAGAUAUAAUGGAAAAAAUAAAAAUCAUUAUUAAAAAAA